CUACAGGCUUAACACAUUGCAAGUCGAGGGGCAGCAUGGUCUUAGCUUGCUAAGGCCGAUGGCGACCGGCGCACGGGUGAGUAACACGUAUCCAACCUGCCGUCUACUCUUGGACAGCCUUCCGAAAGGAAGAUUAAUACAAGAUGGCAUCAUGAGUCCGCAUGUUCACAUGAUUAAAGGUAUUCCGGUAGACGAUGGGGAUGCGUUCCAUUAGAUAGUAGGCGGGGUAACGGCCCACCUAGUCUUCGAUGGAUAGGGGUUCUGAGAGGAAGGUCCCCCACAUUGGAACUGAGACACGGUCCAAACUCCUACGGGAGGCAGCAGUGAGGAAUAUUGGUCAAUGGGCGAGAGCCUGAACCAGCCAAGUAGCGUGAAGGAUGACUGCCCUAUGGGUUGUAAACUUCUUUUAUAAAGGAAUAAAGUCGGGUAUGGAUACCCGUUUGCAUGUACUUUAUGAAUAAGGAUCGGCUAACUCCGUGCCAGCAGCCGCGGUAAUACGGAGGAUCCGAGCGUUAUCCGGAUUUAUUGGGUUUAAAGGGAGCGUAGAUGGAUGUUUAAGUCAGUUGUGAAAGUUUGCGGCUCAACCGUAAAAUUGCAGUUGAUACUGGAUAUCUUGAGUGCAGUUGAGGCAGGCGGAAUUCGUGGUGUAGCGGUGAAAUGCUUAGAUAUCACGAAGAA
RNAcentral lists this ribosomal RNA (678 nucleotides) under uncultured bacterium. RNAcentral's name for it is "bacterial SSU rRNA". It matches the Rfam family "Bacterial small subunit ribosomal RNA", at positions 40 to 706 of the family's 1533-position model. The record is from RNAcentral.